AACCAGGUGCUCCUCACGCUGCUCCCGAAGCGCGCGGAUGCCGGGUGCCUCGGUGACUACAGACCCAUAAGCCUCAUCCACCUCGUCGCCAAGGUCUUCGCCAAGGUCCUCUCGCUCCGACUUGCGCCCAAGCUUAACGCUCUCGUCAGCACCAGCCAAAACACGUUCAUCCCGGGAAGAAGCCUACACGACAACUUCGUCCUCGUGCGGCAGUCAGCGCGCCUGCUACAUCAACUAGGCGCGCCACGCGUUCUGCUCAAGCUGGACCUAACUCGCGCUUUCGACUCGAUCAGCUGGCCAUUCCUCUUCGACGUCCUGCGCUGCUAUGGGUUUGGCACCAGAUUCCUGGGCUGGCUUGCGAUCUUGCUCUCGUCGGCCAGCACCAAGGUGAUCAUGAACGGCGAGCCAGGCCCACCCAUUUAG
This 423-nucleotide ribosomal RNA is filed under the name Triticum aestivum (bread wheat). Its description in RNAcentral is "partial small subunit ribosomal RNA". Lineage: Eukaryota; Viridiplantae; Streptophyta; Magnoliopsida; Poales; Poaceae. The record is from RNAcentral.